This 253-nucleotide ribosomal RNA is filed under the name uncultured bacterium. Its description in RNAcentral is "partial 16S ribosomal RNA". It matches the Rfam family "Bacterial small subunit ribosomal RNA", at positions 524 to 776 of the family's 1533-position model. The record is from RNAcentral.
GACGUAGGGUGCAAGCGUUGUCCGGAUUUACUGGGCGUAAAGCGCGCGUAGGCGGCUCGUUAAGUGUGAAGUGAAAUCCCUGGGCUCAACUCAGGAACUGCUUUACAUACUGGCGAGCUUGAGGGAUGCAGAGGUCUGUGGAAUUCCUGGUGUAACGGUGAAAUGUGUUGAUAUCAGGAGGAACACCCAUGGUGAAGGCAGCAGACUGGGCAUCGCCUGACGCUGAGGUGCGAAAGCGUGGGUAGCAAACAGG